GCAAUUAGAAGAGUCAUUCAAGGAGUGCCUCCAUGAACGAGAGUCAAGGGAAGUAUAGGCAAAUAAGAAGAUACUUGAAAUCAUUAAUUUAGGUCCAUUAAUGGUGUUUAUGAACUCAACACCCAAAGAACCCUUUUAUCCUUCGACACCACUUGCUCCCCAUUAUGUCCUCCAAGAGCAAAAAUGAUUCUUCUCCAAAGCCUAUAAUCCAAAGCCAUAUGUUGUUGAAGAGACAAGCAACAUCAUGUCAAAUCUUGCCAAUAUUGAGGGCAUUGUUAACCAUGGCCUAUUUAUAGUGUUAUAUGACACCUGUUAUGUGCGAAAGCAACUUUUUGACGAGCACUUCUCCAAUUUAAGGUCAAGCCAAGGACCUAAAAUUAUAAAUUAUUGGGAAGCAUCCUAAUUACUUCCUUUAACUUUUUUUUUAAAAUUUUAUAUAACUAGUGAUACUUCUCUUUUUUAAUGUGUGCAUAAAAUCCUUCUCAUGCUUUUUGUUGAUUAUUUUAUAGAUCCUGAGUGUUAGGUUUGAUGCAUGAAAGUAAGCAACUCCAGCAUCUUUUGGAAUCACACCUAGAAAGGGGAGUACAAUUCUAUACUUUUGAGCCUCUUACCAAAUUGCUUACCCCUAUUGAAAUGACUAGAUUUUUCAUUUUCAAAAGAUCCUGAAUUAAAUUAAAAAUAGAAAAUUCAAACAACGUUAUAGUAUUUAUAUUUUGCUAAGGGAAAUCGGCUGAAAUAAAAAUCAAACCAAAAACCACUUAAAUCAGGAGUGAAUCAGAGUAAAACCCAAAUGCAACCUUCUAGAUAUUAAAUUGAACCAAACCCAUUCGGUUUGAAUCGAAUCAGGAUCAGACCAUUGCAUUAGGAGAGAGAAACUCAUUUCUUUCCUCUCUACUUCGCACGAUCGGCGUCUUCCCCCAAUUCUCUCGUUGUUUUCCGACAAAACAGACAUGCAUACCGGUGAUAUAGCACUCUAAGUUCGUCUUCUCGGCGAGAGGAACUCAGUUGUAGCCUCGGAUUAUGUGAUCGGAGGCAUCGAUGAGAGAAAUCGUGUCUAGGAUAUUUCGACACUGUGGCGUCACGUUUUCUGGUGAUUCCUGCCGUUACCGAUGAAGACAGUCUUCAAGGAAGCCUUCGGUUGACUUCUCUCCCCCAUGCGAGUGUUUUGCCUCUAACAAUCUUGAGGUUCAUGGCCGAUUUGUGAAAUCGCCAUGAAUGGCAGCUUAAAGCUCUUGUCGAGCUCGUUCCGGCCAACUAAAGGACUGGCCUCACCAAAAUAACGCCGGAAAUGGACUCCUUAGUGAAUUUCGAGUCAGAUGGUAUGGUCGUUCUUAAAUUCUGGGCGGGCUCGAUUUUCCGGCCAUUGUGUACUGUGGCCGGCGGCGAAGAUCCGCUGACCAGCCGGUGAGUCUCUGGUGAGACCCCCAGAAGGCAGAAUCAUUUUCCCCUCUCGCUAAUCAUGAAAUCGUAGUCCGAUUUUUGAUUGGCAAAAAUAUGUAGAAGAAGAGCUUGAUUUGAUAGUGCAUACGUCAUCCCUAAAUCUGCAUUCGAAAUGUCCAACGAAACGACCACGUUGAAGGUCGUUUCAAAGCUACACAGUAGCUUUUCCUGCUGGCCAAUUAGUUCUACGAGGCACCCUUGCUGGCCACUCUUCUUUGUAUUAUUUUAUUGCUUUCUUUGGCUUGGAUGGUGGAACUUUACGGCAAUCGUAAAGAGAGAGGAGUAGUAUAUAAAGAAAGAUAUUACAACAAAGAACUCAGCUCCCAAAAAUCCAAAGUGUUGCUGCACAUGCAAGUCAAAGGCAGCAAGGAGAACCAAUUCGGCCCCAACAAGUGAGGAAGAAGAAGUUGGCCAAGUGGACAAAUAGAGAAGAAAGGAAAAUGGAGGGAGUAGCAAUUUUAAAAGACUUGGAACGUUAGACACGCAAACAAGAAAAAAAGGAAAGUAAGUAGUUUGUUUAGUAACUUAUGCUAUUUAACUCCUUAUUCCAAUUUUUGCUUUUGAUAA
Molecule: long non-coding RNA, 2007 nt
Organism: Jatropha curcas
Lineage: Eukaryota; Viridiplantae; Streptophyta; Magnoliopsida; Malpighiales; Euphorbiaceae
Source: RefSeq, a predicted model, not a curated record